Molecule: long non-coding RNA, 3860 nt
Organism: Eriocheir sinensis (Chinese mitten crab)
Lineage: Eukaryota; Metazoa; Arthropoda; Malacostraca; Decapoda; Varunidae
Exons: 5
Source: RefSeq, a predicted model, not a curated record
GGUCACACUGGCUCAGGUUAAAGAGGAGAACCUUGCAUCUGUCAUUUAUUUUCUCGUUUACCAAUUAAAAGAAAAGUGAUCAACUACAUUUUUAUUAACCCGUCCACUGCAGUUGGAACAAAUUUGGCUUUCACUUGUAGCCUGAUAACAAUAACAUAUACUCCCAGGUCUUCCUUUGCUUCUGUGGUGGAUAGUGGAGUAUUUCCCAUGUGGUAUUGGUGUGCUGGAUAUCCCCUCCCAAGUUGUAGGACUUUACAUUUUUCUCCAUUGAAUCGUAGCAGCCACUUUUUGAUCAAUUCUUGUAGCUUGGUGAUGUCUUCUUGGAGGAAAUCUGCAGUUAAUGGGUUAACAACAGUAUCACGUAUUGUAUUGAAGUGUAAUUGUUCCAAGCCUCAGAGAAACACAAGUAAUUUACGAUACUUUAAAGAAUAGUUCAAGCUUUGUGGGCCCUGUGACCUGACACCCACUGACUGGCAACUCUGAAUAUACCUCAUUAGCAUAAAUCCAGACCAACCAUCACCCAAAGACUUAUAGUAAAAAAUCACUUUAAUGAUACAGUCAAGUACAAAGAUGGUAUAUUUGAGGUUGGCUGACCCUGGAAACAUUACGUCCUUGUAUUAACAUCAAAUUAUAAUCAGACAAAUAUACAAUAGGGUUGUAUUAUGAGGAAAUUAAGAAAAAACAAAACUAAGUAGGCCUGCUAUGAUAAAAUAAUAAAAGGAAGGAAGGAAAAUCUCCGCCAGGCUCGUGGAACUGCCUAUGGUAAGUAAUUCUCACUUUAUGAUUAUGUUUAAGCCUCUCGAGCCAAAAAAGAAAAUGGUGGAUACUGACAACUGCAGACAUUGCACCCCUUGUUGACAAGUAAUGCAAGUCUUCAAAUAACUUGUAGUUAAUCUCUCAGAUGUGAUGCCUCCAUGUGCCAUGCUAAGUGUGGUAAAAGUCUUGGGCAGGGACUGAAUAGUGACAAUUGCCGGCCCAAGUCUAGUAAGUGUUUGGGAAUGGUGUGUUUUGAAGACUUUGAGGUCACGUCCUGGUAAUCCAGAAAAUAUGCUGAUCCAGAGGGUCUGUGACCCCUGCACGCCAGAUGCAAGGACUUUUACCAUGUUAUCAUAUUUAUUAUUGUUGUUAUUAUUAUUAUUAUUAUUAUUAUUAUUAUUAUUAUUAUUAUUAUUAUUAUCAUCAUAAUAACUUGAUGUUAAUGCAAUGCCCUUUUCUCUGUUUUCAGAUGAAAUUGGUCAAGAUCAUGAUUGUGUUUGGUGCCCUCCUUGCCCUCCUUGCUCCAGCUUCUGUUGGAGCUUCACGUGAAAAAGAAAGCUCCCGGGAUCAAAAUGGGAAUUUCCUGCUGUACGGCGCUGCUGCUGUGGCUGGAGGAGCGGCUGCAGUGUUUGCAGCUCCUCUAAUACUACCGGUUAUUGGAUUCACGAGUGCGGGCAUCAGUGCUGGUUCCUUGGGAGCAUCCUUGAUGUCUGCGUCUGCCGUUGCCAAUGGAGGAGGGAUUGCAGCAGGUGGACUGGUAGCUACUCUACAGGCAGUUGGAGCUGGUGGCCUAGGUUCAGCUGGAACUGCUCUUCUUGUUACUGUUGGAGCAGGUGUUGGUUAUAAAGGGGCCCAACUGUUGGAAGAGAAAGAUGAGAAAUGAAAAGGAUGAACUUCAAGUGGAAAUGUACACAUCUUCACACACACAUACACCCACACUAUUGAAAGAUGUGUAAGAUUACAGGCUGAUUUCACAGUCAUUUCCUUUUGUUGGGAUCAUUUCCAAUGAGUACCAGCAAGAUACUCUACAUUAAUUCAUCACAUUCAUUCCUCUCCCUCCCCCCUUUUUCUUUUGUUUAUUUUCACAUAUAUCUUCCACAGUCCUCCAUAAACAAACAAAUAAAGUGGGGGGUGUAUCACACAGCUAUGAUUGACUUAGUACCAAUCAUCCCUGAAUAGAAAAUAAUAUAACUCAAUCACAUCACUUUAUUAUGAUGAUACAACUAUAAUCACAAGAAUUUUAACUAUGUUGCACUGCACACACACUCACAGGAUUUCAUGGCAGAUAGUUAAUAGUGGAAGUUUGUACACAAGUACUUUCUUGAUUGUUUUUGCUUUUCUUUUAGGAUUCGCCACAUGGUGAAGAAGCCUCUCGCACCAUCUUGAAACUUCCCAUUUCCAUCUAUUACUGUGAAAGGGAAACUUUUCUAUAUUUAUAAGGGCUGAUCUUAUGAUCACUAUACAGACUACCCCCUUGUAUGGUAUACCCCGACAUCACCUUAAUGGCUAAUGCACUACAAAGCAUACAUAUUGUAUUUGAUAUAACAUAAGUAAUGGCUAAUGCACUGCAGAGUAGGGAUGUACCAAUACCAAAAUUUAACCCGAUACCGAUACCACAAAAUUGGGCCAAUACCGAUACUACUACUACUGAUACUGUACGAAGUAUGGAGCUUGGCCACCACUUAGGCACAAAAUACCAUGAGCCUUAACCCUCAUACCCCGUGAUAAAAUGAGUGGGCGGUUUUAAGUUACGUACGUAAAACACGGGUUACUAAUGUAAGUAGGUGUUCCCUUGCUUACCUUAGUGUUCUUUCCAAUUAUUGUAACAAAUACUGGGACAAUUAUAUAUCAUUUGAAAGCUUAGAAGUUGCUCUUUGCUAUGGUAUAAUGAAAAUAAACAAAUGGAACUUAUAUAUUCCUCUAGAUGGGAAACCUCCAGUAUCACCUCACACUCAUCAUCUGACAUCAUCCUUAUCUAGGUCAAUAAUAAGAAAAAAAAAAAAAUUCAUGUAUUGUCAUCUAUCACAUCAUGUGCCUGAAGUACUUAUUUACUCAUGGAAAUACAUAUAUAUCUGCUAUCUUGCCUAGAAAUGGGUAAAAAAAAAUGAUAAAAUACAGCACACAUCGUGACCGUGUACUCAUCCCGGGAAAAUCUGGAGCCCAAAUACAACAUAAACAAAUCCUUGUAAAAGCUGGGACGUGAUUGGCCAAGCAUCCAGCAUGUUGGAAACAAAAGGGCCAAUGAUAGGGCUUGAUGUACGACACAUAGCCUCGAACAUAAACAAACUGUGUCAAAAUGAGGACGAUAUUUGAAGAGCGCCAUGAUCGUGGUGUGACGGAAUCUAACGUACAAGCCACGAUCGUGGCUGACGGGGUGUAAGGGUUAAGACUAAGAAAUGUUUAUUAUGGACCACUUGUGAGUAGAAAGUUCCCCAUGUAGCAAGAGCUACCAAUAAGAAAAAUUAUAUAAGCUGGGAAACCUUAACUAAUGUUAUCUCAUAGGCAGCCCGCAGCAGACUGCAGCGUGAGGUCAUGUGAAGGGUGCAGGUUGUGGCAGGCCCAGUGCCCAGCACCACCACCGUGUCUCAUACACAUUCACAGUAGCAGUUGUGGCUCGCUACUAAUUUUCUGCAUUACAAUGCACCGUGUGCUCAAAAUAGUAUGAUACUAGAUAAUUUACUAUUACCAAUAAUUAAUUUUUCAUUACUAUAAAAUAUCCAAUUUCUACUUAACAAAAUAACUUGAAGCAAGUAAUAUGCAAUGCAAUAAGUUUUUAGGUAUUUGGUAGUAUCAGCAGUACAUCAGCCAAUACUGACACUCUAAAAAUGGGCCGAUACUUCGAUACUGAUACAUUGGUACAUCCCUACUGCAAAGCAUGUGUACUGAACGUAAUAUAUAUGAAGCUUUUAGGGUGCAGUUACCCCUAGUUAUUACAUGGGCUUUCCUUGUCGCUACAAGUGUCCAUUGUCAUUCUUUCACGAGUUUCAUUGGCAGAGGGAGUCUCAUAGCAGCCUUAUUAGGUGCUGGAGAAACUAGUUCAUGUUAGCUGUAUCUACAACAUGCAUGUACUAUUCCAUUUCUGGAUAUAAAACUGGCUGCAUUAA